This 477-nucleotide ribosomal RNA is filed under the name Ottowia sp. canine oral taxon 014. RNAcentral describes it as "bacterial SSU rRNA". It matches the Rfam family "Bacterial small subunit ribosomal RNA", at positions 9 to 482 of the family's 1533-position model. Lineage: Bacteria; Pseudomonadati; Pseudomonadota; Betaproteobacteria; Burkholderiales; Comamonadaceae. The record is from RNAcentral.
GAGUUUGAUUAUGGCUCAGAUUGAACGCUGGCGGAAUGCUUUACACAUGCAAGUCGAGCGGCAGCGCGGGGCAACCUGGCGGCGAGCGGCGAACGGGUGAGUAAUACAUCGGAACGUGCCCAGACGUGGGGGAUAGCCCGGCGAAAGCCGGAUUAAUACCGCAUGUGAUCUGAGGAUGAAAGCGGGGGACCUUUGGGCCUCGCGCGUUUGGAGCGGCCGAUGGCAGAUUAGGUAGUUGGUGGGGUAAAGGCUUACCAAGCCUGCGAUCUGUAGCUGGUCUGAGAGGAUGAUCAGCCACACUGGGACUGAGACACGGCCCAGACUCCUACGGGAGGCAGCAGUGGGGAAUUUUGGACAAUGGGCGAAAGCCUGAUCCAGCCAUUCCGCGUGCAGGACGAAGGCCCUCGGGUUGUAAACUGCUUUUGUACAGAACGAAAAGUCUCUGGCUAAUACCCUAGGGAUCAUGACGNUACUAGA